GAUGAACGCUGGCGGUGUGCCUAACACAUGCAAGUCGAGCGGCAGCGAGGGGUGCUUGCACCCUGUCGGCGAGCGGCGGACGGCUGAGUAACGCGUGGGAACGUGCCCCAAAGUGAGGAAUAACUGCCCGAAAGGGUAGCUAAUACCGCAUAUUAUCUUCGGAUCAAAGGAUUUAUCCGCUUUGGGAGCGGCUCGCGUCGGAUUAGGUAGUUGGUGAGGUAAUGGCUCACCAAGCCGACGAUCCGUAGCUGGUCUGAGAGGAUGACCAGCCAGACUGGAACUGAGACACGGUCCAGACUCCUACGGGAGGCAGCAGUGAGGAAUCUUCCACAAUGGGCGAAAGCCUGAUGGAGCAACGCCGCGUGCAGGACGAAGGCCUUCGGGUUGUAAACUGCUUUUAUAAGUGAGGAAUAUGACGGUAACUUAUGAAUAAGGAUCGGCUAACUACGUG
Molecule: ribosomal RNA, 451 nt
Filed under: uncultured bacterium
Lineage: Bacteria
Description: partial 16S ribosomal RNA
Rfam family: Bacterial small subunit ribosomal RNA
Source: RNAcentral